Molecule: non-coding RNA, 196 nt
Organism: Dickeya dadantii 3937
Lineage: Bacteria; Pseudomonadati; Pseudomonadota; Gammaproteobacteria; Enterobacterales; Pectobacteriaceae
Rfam family: GcvB RNA
About the family: The gcvB gene encodes a small untranslated RNA involved in expression of the dipeptide and oligopeptide transport systems in Escherichia coli. Included several unknown homologues in alignment (Bateman A pers obs).
Source: Rfam
ACUUCCCUGAGCCGGAACGAAAAGUGCGAAAGGUUGACUGACGUGCUUUUGGCUUGUGGUUGUGAUGUUGUGUUUGCUAUUUGUUUACUGUCUGCAUUUCAGACGCGGUAGCGAUGCUACCUUUCAUUUCCUGUACAUUUACCCUGUCUGUCUAAGUGAUUUUUGCAUAGCACCGCGUUUUGCGGUGCUUUUUUUU